CGGGGCUUAAAGUCUUGUAAUUGGAAUGAUGGGAAUUUAAACCUCUUCCAGAGUAUCAAUUGGAGGGCAAGUCUGGUGCCAGCAGCCGCGGUAAUUCCAGCUCCAAUAGCGUAUAUUAAAAUUGUUGCAGUUAAAAAGCUCGUAGUUGAAUUUCUGCUGCAUUGCUUGUGUCCCUCUGGGGUCUGUGCAUGUGGCUUUUUUCGGACGGAGUUUCUUUGUCUGAAUGUUUACUUUGAGAAAAUUAGAGUGCUCAAAGCAGGCUUUCGCCUUGAAUAGUUUAGCAUGGAAUAAUAAAGUAGGACUUUGGUUCUAUUUUGUUGGUUUUAGGUACCAAAGUAAUGGUUAAUAGGAACAGUUGGGGGCAUUCGUAUUUAACUGUCAGAGGUGAAAUUCUUAGAUUCGUUAAAGACGAACUACUGCGAAAGCAUUUGCCAAGGAUGUUUUCAUUAAUCAAGAAC
Molecule: ribosomal RNA, 458 nt
Filed under: Theileria annulata
Lineage: Eukaryota; Apicomplexa; Aconoidasida; Piroplasmida; Theileriidae
Description: SSU rRNA
Rfam family: Eukaryotic small subunit ribosomal RNA
Source: RNAcentral